CAGUCGCCGCGGUAAUACGGGGGGGGCAAGCGUUGUUCGGAAUUAUUGGGCGUAAAGGGUGCGUAGGCGGUUUGAUAAGUCUGAUGUGAAAUCUCUGGGCUCAACCCAGAGUCUGCAUCGGAAACUGUCGGGCUUGAGGAUGGGAGAGGUGAGUGGAAUUUCCGGUGUAGCGGUGAAAUGCGUAGAUAUCGGAAGGAACACCUGUGGCGAAAGCGGCUCACUGGACCAUUACUGACGCUGAUGCACGAAAGCUAGGGGAGCAAACAGGAUUAGAUACCCGUGUAGUCCCUGUCUCUUAUAC
This 301-nucleotide ribosomal RNA is filed under the name uncultured bacterium. RNAcentral's name for it is "partial 16S ribosomal RNA". It matches the Rfam family "Bacterial small subunit ribosomal RNA", at positions 509 to 807 of the family's 1533-position model. The record is from RNAcentral.